AUCGCUUCUCGGCCUUUUGGCUAAGAUCAAGUGUAGUAUCUGUUCUUAUCAGCCUUAUCAGAUCUUACCAUUUUAACUACAAAUGUCAGAGGGCUGCAGAAGGCGACGAAAAGGACAGCUGUGUUUCGAGAUCUGGCGUCCACUUCAGCCUCAAUCUGCUGCCUGCAGGAGGUUCACCUGCGGGACCAGCGGGACGAGGC
Molecule: small nuclear RNA, 200 nt
Organism: Pygocentrus nattereri (red-bellied piranha)
Lineage: Eukaryota; Metazoa; Chordata; Actinopteri; Characiformes; Serrasalmidae
Product: U2 spliceosomal RNA
Exons: 1
Source: RefSeq, a predicted model, not a curated record